Phalaenopsis equestris is the source of this 2639-nucleotide long non-coding RNA. RefSeq lists it as uncharacterized. The record is from RefSeq and is a predicted model, not a curated record. NCBI's taxonomy places the organism in Eukaryota, Viridiplantae, Streptophyta, Magnoliopsida, Asparagales, Orchidaceae. The transcript is spliced from 3 exons.
CAGCCGUCGGAUAAUAUCCGAGGACUGAUAAGCCAAAAGAAAAUGUCCGUGAAAUCCAUCCAGUUCUUGUAUAAAUUGACAUCGCCGUGCAACGAAAACCCUAACUCAUUAGUUUAAGUAUGAGGCAUAUGGAGGAUGGUCUAAUGCCAGGCUCCUCCAUGGCCGUUGAUUACUUUGACGUAAUCCUUCCAACGAGCGCUCCUCUAAUUGGGCAAUGACGAUGAAAUCCAUCACGGAAGGAGAUCUUAAUCCGCUUUAGGAAUGCUUCCGAGGGUGCUUUAGAGAUCGCAAUGCCUCUCUUGCUUUGGCGCCGGAGCAGCUUGGAUGGCCCGUUAUUCUACGGGAAACCGCUCUCUCUGUGUGUCGCUGGUGUAGAGAUAGCGGGUGGAUCUCCUUGGUGAUGGAGAUAAGGUUAAUCUGAGCCCUCCGUCUUCCAAUUUUCUUACCAAUCUUUACCAAAUGUUUCUCUUCCCCUGUCGUACCCGCAACCCUCUCCGAAAUCUAUCCCCGCUCUGUCAAUUUAGUCCAAAAUCAUUGACUUCGUGAUUAAACCCUCACGAUUCCAUAGCGAUUGGAGCUAGGAAGGCAACAACGGGAUUGAGAUGUACAAAAAACAUCUAAAACUCCUCUCUCUCUCUUUCGUUCGCUUUCUCUCGUCAUCUAUCUAUCUAUAUUACUUUAGAGAUAUUCAGUCUCGACAUGCAAUGGCGAUAGAGGUGCUUGGAAGGUUUGUGCCUGUAAAUGUAACUGUUGCUUCCAUGAGUCACCGGUUGUUGUACAUUCUCUUGGAUAUAACAAUAGUGAUUCUAAGCUUUUGAUUCCCCAUUUCUUUCCGCAAUUUUCCAUAUAUUUCUAGCAACCAUAUGAGCUAUUGAAAAUACAUAAUUUAUUGUAACUAUGUCAAAGUAGAAAUCUAUCUUGGUUUCUUUUUCGGGCAUUUACAUGCACACCACACGAAUUUUUAGUAUUUAAAUAUCUAACACCUAAAUUUUAAUGGUCAGCUGGCACAAAACAAUGUUUUGGAUAUGUUUUGUAAGAGAACAAACAAUGCCUUUUUUUAUCUAAUUUGAGCUAUUAUGAGGCUUACGAAACUAAAUUUCUCUCUUCUUUCUUUCCUUAUUUUACAUUUGACGAUGAUGAUUACAUGCAACAUGGAAUGUGAUCUUAUCCCUAUUCAUGGUGCUUCAGUGAUCUCUUCACUUUUCAUGCACUGAUGGAGCAGCUUGAAUGACCUAUGCUUCUACAGGUAACCGCUGCAUCCUAGUGCCAUUGGUAGAGAACAUGUGGGUGUAUCUGCCUUUUGAUGGAACUAAGGUGAAUUUGAACCAAUGAUACCUUUUUUUUUUACUUUUCUAUAUCUUCAAGCAACCAGAUGGAGCGUUAAAGUGGUUUGAUGUUUGUAAUUGCUGUAUUGAGCAUUUACCAUGUGACAUAUGAUUUAUUCUUGAAGUUUUUUGAUUUCUAUUGUGCACAUCCAGAUGUGUAAUGCUGAACUACAUUUCCAAUAAAGAUUACUCUUUUGGAACGUUUCAUGCAAGCCACAACAAACUAGCAAAAUGAGUAUUCUUUUUUAUUGCCAUGAAUGGUAAUAAUGUUGUGAAAAACGACGGCAAUAAAGCGAAAAAUUGAAACGAGAAGAUCCUCACACAAAGAUAGAACAUACAAGUCUACGUGGUUCGGCAAAUUGUCUACUUUCACGGACUUGCAAAGGAUUUUUUUACUUGAAGAUCACAUAGUUUCUCAACAAAAUUACAAGAACUCCCAGUAAACUCUUCCUCCCUGCUAGUUGAAUCUCACGAAGCUCCCUGCUAGUUGAAUCUCACGAAGCCUGUUUUGCCUUUACUUUUGCACGAUUCCUUCUGUUGCUAGCUGCUCGCAAGGCACCAGUUCUUCUUCCGGUCACAAGCUGUUUGCAGGGCACCAGUUCUUCCUCCUUUCGGCUGACUUAUACCUUCAGAAUUGCUCACAUGCUUCGUUCAAGAAAGACUGUUACCUUUAUUCGCGGAAAUGGGAAAGCGGGAGAGCGCGAAUACACAACCGAUAAAUUACUCAAAAGAUUUCUCUAUGAAUUUCAGGAAUCUCUCCAGUGGUGUCAAAUCGGAUUUGUAAGGUUAACGCUGAAUUGCAGAUCCGCGGAUCUGCUUUGAUGUGGAAUGGUGAUGAAUCUGAGCCCUCAAACUCCCGCUUUCCUUUGUAACCUUUUCUCUUAAGAGGUUUUUCAUUGUUAUGCAAGUAAUUCUGCAUUCUACGGGGCUGUUUGGUAGCAAGAAUUCAGCAGGAUUUAACUUAAAUCCUGAAAACAGAAAAAAUGACAUUUUUAAAUUCUACACGUUCUUAAAUUCCCUUUUUCUUUUGCUGUCUUAAAUCCUGGAUUUAGUUAAUCCAGUUGGAAGACAAACUUUUGGGAUUUGAAGAAGCUAUGGUUUCUAGGAGGAACGGAGUGGAAGGAGGAGAAAGAUGGGAAUUUUGGGAUUUGCUCUAAUUGUGACUCUUAUCACUAUGGUUUGGUCACAAAGGAAAUGAUUUUGGGCAAGACUGGGAUAGCGGAGAGGGAUGUUGGCGAGGAUUUUGGAAAGGAGAGGGGGAGAGGAAGAUAAAUAAGGAACUUACCAAAUAUAUCUCGCCUAAAUUAGGAAAGA